Long non-coding RNA from Amphiprion ocellaris (clown anemonefish), 1243 nucleotides. The record is from Ensembl. NCBI's taxonomy places the organism in Eukaryota, Metazoa, Chordata, Actinopteri, Pomacentridae.
CUUCUGCUCACCGUGUGGACUCUCCGCACUUGUCAGUCACAGCCUGCAUGUGUGAGGGAGAGGACACCGUUUGGUUGCUUUGCAAGUCCACAGAGAGACAGAGGGAGAGAGAGGAGAGACACUUUGUAGCUGCAAUAUUUUACUCUUUUGCACUAUCCUGUCCUCGUCGGAUGCGCUCGAACCGUCAGGCAGUGAAUGAAACGAGAAAAAUCCGAGGCAGGAAUAGAGAAUUGCUGGAGAACACUGACUGUGGUGGAGUGGAGUUAGCCUGAUGUGCAAAUGGAAACAAGGGUGGGUGGUUGGAAGGCUGAAUAAAGGCUGGUAGAUGACUGAACUCAGAGACCCGGCACAGCUCAUCAUCAUUGCCAUGGGCUCUCAUCUUCUGCCUCUUCCUCCUGUGGCUCGUACCUCCAUCCAGGGGUCCAGCAGAGCCAGCGAAGCCCAGGCGGGGAGCUAGUGAGUGGGCUGGGAAGGAUGGAGAAGGUCCCCAAAGGCUAGAAUCACCUCUGGAGCUACCGGCAUGCAGGAGAAAUCAAUAUGAAACACAGAACCUUCACAGCUCUGAGUGGGGUUUCCUGUGUUUUAAGUGUGUGGCCUAGGGGCCCGCAGACCUCCAAAGGACAGGCCCUGCGUGGCUCUCUCAGCUGCAGUCCUGGCUCCUCAGACUGGACCUCAGUCCGGAUCUCCACUGGCUGUGUGUGGUUCUGCUGAAGGGGAUUUCUCCCCAAAUAAUACCCAAUACCCAGAUUGUUGAAAGACUGCCAAGAGGGAUCCUCCUUUCUCUUGAUUUUUUUUUCUCCAUCAUCAGAUUGACAUACCCCCCUCCACCCCACCUUCUGCCUCCGGCUGUUUAAAAACCAGUUUGGGAGUUCUGCUUUUGACUCACUCUCCAUCCUAAGCUCACCCGUUGUUUAUUCCCCAACUAGUUUUUACAUUUGACAAAGAGACAGUGCGAUCUUUAUUUUCUCUUCCGCUCUUGGCUUGCCGUUACUAUGGUGAGCUGUAGACACGUGUCUGUUCAAACCAGAAAUACUGGCACACGAAGUAUGAACCUCUUUUUUUUCCCUCCACGAUGCCUAUUAUUAUUAUUCAAUUUCAGACUGUUUUUUUAAAAAAAACAACUGACUGACUGAACAGUAAAGAGGGCUGAAGAUCACAGAGCAGACAGACCUUGUAGUGGAGAUGGUAAAAUGGCAAGUAUCUCUCUUUAGCACUCCACAUUUUCCACUCUGUGAACAAGUCU